GGUUUGAUGGUCUAGUGGUAGGAUUCUCGCUUUGGGUACACAUUUAAUGUAUCGAAAAUGCGAGAGGUCCCGGGUUCAAUCCCCGGUCAAACCC
Molecule: non-coding RNA, 94 nt
Organism: Jackrogersella minutella
Lineage: Eukaryota; Fungi; Ascomycota; Sordariomycetes; Xylariales; Hypoxylaceae
Source: the annotation of a GenBank genome assembly